GAUGAACGCUAGCGGCAGGCCUAACACAUGCAAGUCGAACGGUAACAUAGAUUGCUUGCAAUCUGAUGACGAGUGGCGCACGGGUGCGUAACGCGUAUGCAAUCUACCUUUUACAGGAGAAUAGCCCAGAGAAAUUUGGAAUAAUGCUCCAUAAUAUCAUUUAUCAGCAUUGAUUUAUGAUUAAAGCUCCGGCGGUAAAAGAUGAGCAUGCGUUCUAUUAGCUAGUAGGUGAGGUAACGGCUCACCUAGGCAACGAUAGAUAGGGGCCCUGAGAGGGGGGAUCCCCCCACACUGGUACUGAGACACGGACCAGACUCCUACGGGAGGCAGCAGUGAGGAAUAUUGGACAAUGGAGGAAACUCUGAUCCAGCCAUGCCGCGUGCAGGACGACUGCCCUAUGGGUUGUAAACUGCUUUUAUAUAGGAAGAAACACUCCCACGUGUGGGGGCUUGACGGUACUAUAUGAAUAA
RNAcentral lists this ribosomal RNA (470 nucleotides) under uncultured bacterium. RNAcentral's name for it is "bacterial SSU rRNA". It matches the Rfam family "Bacterial small subunit ribosomal RNA", at positions 28 to 489 of the family's 1533-position model. The record is from RNAcentral.